UUAGAUAUCUAUUGUUAUUUGUAGGGAUCCAAUAAAAAUAUCCUUGACGAAGCUCCAAUUCCUCGACGUAAAAAACGAGAAAGGGAUAAUGGUGAUGUGCGUCCAAUACAUAUUGCUCAGCGCUUGCGUCGUGAAAGGGAGAAGCAAGCAAAAAUAAUACAAUCUCAACCAUAUCCAUUUCAACCAAGAUUUUUCCCUGGUUUGAUCCCCAG
RNAcentral lists this long non-coding RNA (212 nucleotides) under Panax ginseng (ginseng). RNAcentral's name for it is "long non-coding RNA (PGIN_LNC009749)". The record is from RNAcentral. Lineage: Eukaryota; Viridiplantae; Streptophyta; Magnoliopsida; Apiales; Araliaceae.